AUUGAACGCUGGCGGCAGGCCUAACACAUGCAAGUCGAACGAGUGGCGGACGGGUGAGUAAUGUCUGGGAAACUGCCUGAUGGAGGGGGAUAACUACUGGAAACGGUAGCUAAUACCGCAUACCAUCAGAUGUGCCCAGAUGGGAUUAGCUUGUUGGUGGGGUAACGGCUCACCAAGGCGGCGAUCCCUAGCUGGUCUGAGAGGAUGACCAUCCACAAGGGAACUGAGACACGGUACAGACUCCUACGGGAGGCAGAAGUGGGGAAUAUUGCACAAGGGGAGAGAGCCUGAUGCAGCCAUGCCGCGUGUAUGAAGAAGGCCUGCGGGUUGUAAAGUACUUUCAGCGGGGAGGCGUUACACGCAGAAGAAGCACCGGCUAACUCCGUGCCAGCAGCCGCGGUAAUAC
This 406-nucleotide ribosomal RNA is filed under the name uncultured bacterium. Its description in RNAcentral is "partial 16S ribosomal RNA". It matches the Rfam family "Bacterial small subunit ribosomal RNA", at positions 30 to 526 of the family's 1533-position model. The record is from RNAcentral.